UGGAAGGCAUCCGUAUCCGGUGAUGCGGCCGGGCUUCAAACCCGGUUGGGGGCGUCAGUCGCUCCCAGGUCGGUUCGACUCCGGCUGCUUUCCGCCA
RNAcentral lists this transfer RNA (97 nucleotides) under Pandoraea communis. RNAcentral describes it as "Pandoraea sp. LMG 31110 tRNA-Sec". It matches the Rfam family "Selenocysteine transfer RNA". Lineage: Bacteria; Pseudomonadati; Pseudomonadota; Betaproteobacteria; Burkholderiales; Burkholderiaceae. The record is from RNAcentral.